UCGAUCUGCUGCGGGCAGAUGAAAUGGAUGUGGCUGUCGAUGCCGCCGGCGGUGACGAUCAUGCCUUCGCCGGCGAUGACCUCGGUGCCUGGGCCGACGACGAUGGUCACCCCGGGCUGGAUAUCCGGGUUGCCGGCCUUGCCGAUGGCGGCGAUGCGGCCGCCCUUCAGGCCGAUGUCAGCCUUGAUGAUGCCGGUGACGGCGUCGACGAUCAGCGCGUUGGUGAUGACGGUAUCGACGGUUUCCGCCGACACGCGCUGGCUCUGGCCCAUGCCGUCGCG
This 281-nucleotide small RNA is filed under the name uncultured Azonexus sp. RNAcentral describes it as "5' ureB small RNA". It matches the Rfam family "5' ureB small RNA". The record is from RNAcentral. Lineage: Bacteria; Pseudomonadati; Pseudomonadota; Betaproteobacteria; Rhodocyclales; Azonexaceae.